UUUCUUCUAUUAAUUGUGGGUUAGGUGGUUCUUAGUCCUUGAGAUGCAUCGUGAGGUAGUUUCAGGGCCUGUCUUUGAUGGAGGUACUCAAACAAGCCUCUUAACGCUGCUUUUGCUGUAUCCCUUAGGUUCUGUUUGUUUUCAUUUUCUUCAAGGAAUUUUUAAAUUUCCCUUUUGACUUCCUCAGUGACACAUUGUUGAUUCAAAAGUGUGUUGUUCAGUCUGUAUAAUUUCUAAAGUUUCUCAUUAUUCAUUUCUUGUUGUAUUCCAUUGUGAUAAAAAAUGAAACAGAAUGAUAUCAGGAUUGGGGAGUUUUCUUUUGUGGCUUAAUACAUGGUACAUUCUAGAGAAUGUUCUAUGUGCUGUUGUGUGGGGGGUUGUAUUUAGAUAUUUACAGGAAUGUUUUGUAAAUCUGUUAAACCCAUUUAAUCCACAGUAUCAUUUAUCUCUAAUUUUUUGUCUGGAGGUUGUAUCCAUUAGUGAGUAAGGUAUGAAAACUCCCCGAUUAUUAUUAUAUUGGACUAUCUCCAUCACUUAAGGUCUAAGUGUGUUUUAUAAAAUUAGGUGCUCUGCUAUUAGGUAUUUAUAAAUUUAUACUAGUUCUAUCUUGAUGAAUUGUUAGACCAAGCAGCAGUAACUAUAUUUUAUAUGUGACAGACUAUCAUUUUCUAUCUUCUCAGUCUUUUUUACAUUUUUUUUAGUUGUUGGACUUUUUAUAUGUAUGUGGUGUUGAGAAUCAAACCCAGUGCUGCAAGCAUGCUACCACCAAGCCACACCCCCAGCCCCCUUUUCUCAGUCCUUGUUAUAAUCUACUCAGCCAGUCUGUAUCUUUUAAGGUCCAUUUACAUUGAGAGUUAUUACUGAAAGAUACAGACUUAUAUGCCUGUCAUUUU
This 893-nucleotide long non-coding RNA is filed under the name Marmota monax (woodchuck). Lineage: Eukaryota; Metazoa; Chordata; Mammalia; Rodentia; Sciuridae. The record is from RNAcentral.